RNAcentral lists this ribosomal RNA (253 nucleotides) under uncultured bacterium. RNAcentral's name for it is "partial 16S ribosomal RNA". It matches the Rfam family "Bacterial small subunit ribosomal RNA", at positions 524 to 776 of the family's 1533-position model. The record is from RNAcentral.
UACGAAGGGGGCUAGCGUUGUUCGGAAUUACUGGGCGUAAAGCGCACGUAGGCGGCUUUUUAAGUCGGUGGUGAAAUCCUGGAGCUCAACUCCAGAACUGCCUUCGAAACUGAAAAGCUUGAGUCCGGGAGAGGUGAGUGGAACUGCGAGUGUAGAGGUGAAAUUCGUAGAUAUUCGCAAGAACACCAGUGGCGAAGGCGGCUCACUGGCCCGGUACUGACGCUGAGGAACGAAAGCUAGGGGAGCAAACAGG